AAAAAACUAACUUGUACAUGCAUAUCAUUUCUCAGGUUCAUUCAGGAGUCUGUUCACAGUGAGAGAUGGCAGCCAUUCCAGAGUUGAAGAGGAAGACUUGCACCUACAGUUUCUACCGUGAGCCUAGGUUCAUUCAGGAGUCUGUUCACAGUGAGAGAUGGCAGCCAUUCCAGAGUUGAAGAGGAAGACUUGCACCUACAGUU
RNAcentral lists this long non-coding RNA (203 nucleotides) under Lathyrus oleraceus (garden pea). RNAcentral's name for it is "Pisum sativum (pea) long non-coding RNA (PSAT_LNC012602)". Lineage: Eukaryota; Viridiplantae; Streptophyta; Magnoliopsida; Fabales; Fabaceae. The record is from RNAcentral.